RNAcentral lists this unclassified non-coding RNA (431 nucleotides) under soil metagenome. Its description in RNAcentral is "partial contains 5.8S ribosomal RNA, internal transcribed spacer 2, and large subunit ribosomal RNA". The stretch from base 1 to 120 matches the Rfam family "5.8S ribosomal RNA", at positions 35 to 154 of the family's 154-position model. The record is from RNAcentral.
GAUGAAGAACGCAGCGAAAUGCGAUACGUAAUGUGAAUUGCAGAAUUCAGUGAAUCAUCGAAUCUUUGAACGCAUAUUGCGCUCUCUGGUAUUCCGGAGAGCAUGCUUGUUUGAGUAUCAGUAAACACCUCAACUCCCCUUUCUUUUUUGAAAUGGGAGCUGGACUUGAGUGAUCCCAACGCUUUUCUCACCGAAAAGUGGCGGGUUACUUGAAAUGCAGGUGCAGCUGGACUUUUCUCUGAGCUAAAAGCAUAUCUAUUUAGUCUGCCUAAAAAACAGAUUAUUACCUUUGCUGCAGCUAACAUAAAGGAGAUUAGUUCUUGUGCUGACUGAUGCAGGAUUCACAGAGACAGCUUCGGCUGGCCUUUGUAAACUCGAUCUCAAAUCAAGUAAGACUACCCGCUGAACUUAAGCAUAUCAUAAGCGGAGGA